UAUAAGUCAGAAAAGUGGCUUUCAGGGAGU
This 30-nucleotide non-coding RNA is filed under the name Mus musculus (house mouse). The record is from RNAcentral. Lineage: Eukaryota; Metazoa; Chordata; Mammalia; Rodentia; Muridae.